UAGGGAAUUUUCGUCAAUGGGCGCAAGCCUGAACGAGCAAUGCCGCGUGAGUGAGGAAGGUCUUCGGAUCGUAAAGCUCUGUUGCGGGGGAAAAAGGAAGCAGAAAGGAAAUGGUCUGCUUUUGAUGGUACCCCGCCAGAAAGUCACGGCUAACUCGUGCC
This 161-nucleotide ribosomal RNA is filed under the name uncultured bacterium. RNAcentral's name for it is "partial 16S ribosomal RNA". It matches the Rfam family "Bacterial small subunit ribosomal RNA", at positions 355 to 509 of the family's 1533-position model. The record is from RNAcentral.